Molecule: unclassified non-coding RNA, 192 nt
Filed under: uncultured fungus
Lineage: Eukaryota; Fungi
Description: sequence contains ITS1
Source: RNAcentral
GAAAAUUUUGGAGCUCUGCUUCAAAUCACACUGUGUGCACCGUUGACUGUCUCUGGCAGGACCAGGGGUCGGGCUUCAGCCCGGACCCCCCUGCCGAUGGGUCGCCCUCCCUGUGGGGACGAUCCACUUUGAACAACACCAUGCCUGUUAUUUGUCUGACUUUUCUUCACCUUUGCGUGCGAGAAAUUGAAA